CAGUAGCCACGGUAAUACGUAGGUCCCGAGCGUUGUCCGGAUUUAUUGGGCGUAAAGCGAGCGCAGGCGGUUAGAUAAGUCUGAAGUUAAAGACUGUGGCUUAACCAUAGUACGCUUUGGAAACUGUUUAACUUGAGUGCAGAAGGGGAGAGUGGAAUUCCAUGUGUAGCGGUGAAAUGCGUAGAUAUAUGGAGGAACACCGGUGGCGAAAGCGGCUCUCUGGUCUGUAACUGACGCUGAGGCUCGAAAGCGUGGGGAGCAAACAGGAUUAGAUACCCCGGUAGUCCCUGUCUCUUAUACC
This 301-nucleotide ribosomal RNA is filed under the name uncultured bacterium. RNAcentral describes it as "partial 16S ribosomal RNA". It matches the Rfam family "Bacterial small subunit ribosomal RNA", at positions 509 to 808 of the family's 1533-position model. The record is from RNAcentral.